RNAcentral lists this ribosomal RNA (466 nucleotides) under uncultured bacterium. RNAcentral describes it as "bacterial SSU rRNA". It matches the Rfam family "Bacterial small subunit ribosomal RNA", at positions 29 to 506 of the family's 1533-position model. The record is from RNAcentral.
ACGAACGCUGGCGGCGUGCUUAACACAUGCAAGUCGAACGAUGAAAGAGGAGCUUGCUCCUCUGGAUUAGUGGCGAACGGGUGAGUAACACGUGAGCAAUGUGCCCUUGACUCUGGAAUAAGCGCUGGAAACGGCGUCUAAUACCGGAUACGACCUUCGGAGGCAUCUCCUGGAGGUGGAAAGAAUUUCGGUCAAGGAUCAGCUCACGGCCUAUCAGUUAGUUGGUGAGGUAAUGGCUCACCAAGACGACGACGGGUAGCCGGCCUGAGAGGGUGACCGGCCACACUGGGACUGAGACACGGCCCAGACUCCUACGGGAGGCAGCAGUGGGGAAUAUUGCACAAUGGGCGCAAGCCUGAUGCAGCAACGCCGCGUGAGGGACGACGGCCUUCGGGUUGUAAACCUCUUUUAGCAGGGAAGAAGCGAAAGUGACGGUACCUGCAGAAAAAGCACCGGCUAACUACGU